RNAcentral lists this ribosomal RNA (411 nucleotides) under Actinomycetes bacterium. RNAcentral's name for it is "Actinobacteria bacterium partial 16S ribosomal RNA". It matches the Rfam family "Bacterial small subunit ribosomal RNA", at positions 355 to 776 of the family's 1533-position model. The record is from RNAcentral. Lineage: Bacteria; Bacillati; Actinomycetota; Actinomycetes.
UGGGGAAUAUUGCACAAUGGGCGCAAGCCUGAUGCAGCGACGCCGCGUGGGGGAUGACGGCCUUCGGGUUGUAAACUCCUUUCGCUAGGGACGAAGCUUUUUGUGACGGUACCUAGAUAAGAAGCACCGGCUAACUACGUGCCAGCAGCCGCGGUAAUACGUAGGGUGCGAGCGUUGUCCGGAAUUACUGGGCGUAAAGGGCUCGUAGGUGGUUUGUCGCGUUGUCUGUGAAAUUCCGGGGCUUAACUCCGGGCGUGCAGGCGAUACGGGCAUAACUUGAGUACUGUAGGGGUAACUGGAAUUCCUGGUGUAGCGGUGAAAUGCGCAGAUAUCAGGAGGAACACCGAUGGCGAAGGCAGGUUACUGGGCAGUUACUGACGCUGAGGAGCGAAAGCAUGGGUAGCGAACAGG